Molecule: ribosomal RNA, 912 nt
Filed under: uncultured bacterium
Lineage: Bacteria
Description: bacterial SSU rRNA
Rfam family: Bacterial small subunit ribosomal RNA
Source: RNAcentral
CUAAAUGCAGUCGAACGAAGCUCCUAAACCUGCGCCUUCGGGCAAGGGUGAGGGAUGACUUAGUGGCGGACGGGUGAGUAAUGCGUGAGCAACCUGCCCUUCAGAGGGGGACAACAGCUGGAAACGGCUGCUAAUACCGCAUAAUGUAUACGAAUCGCAUGGUUUGUAUACCAAAGAUUUAUCGCUGAAGGAUGGGCUCACGUCUGAUUAGUUAGUUGGUAGGGUAACGGCCUACCAAGACUGCGAUCAGUAGCCGGACUGAGAGGUUGACCGGCCACAUUGGGACUGAGAUACGGCCCAGACUCCUACGGGAGGCAGCAGUGGGGAAUAUUGGGCAAUGGGCGAAAGCCUGACCCAGCAACGCCGCGUGAAGGAAGAAGGCUUUCGGGUUGUAAACUUCUUUUAUAGGGGACGAAACAAAUGACGGUACCCUAUGAAUAAGCUCCGGCUAACUACGUGCCAGCAGCCGCGGUAAUACGUAGGGAGCAAGCGUUAUCCGGAUUUACUGGGUGUAAAGGGCGCGUAGGCGGGACUGCAAGUCAGGUGUGAAAUCUGGUGGCUCAACCACCAAACUGCACUUGAAACUGUGGUUCUUGAGUGAUGGAGAGGCAGGCGGAAUUCCUAGUGUAGCGGUGAAAUGCGUAGAUAUUAGGAGGAACACCAGUGGCGAAGGCGGCUUUCUGGACCGUAACCUGACGCUGAGGCACGAAAGCGUGGGGAGCAAACAGGAUUAGAUACCCUGGUAGUCCACGCUGUAAACGAUGGGAUACUAGGUGUAGGGGGGUAUAGACCUCCCCCUGUGCCCGANCCAAACCCCAANAAGUAUCCCCCCCUGGGGNAAUACCGCCCCCCAGGCNUNAAACUCCAAAGNAAUUUGACCGGGGGCCCCCCNCAAANCAGCCGAAAACAUUG